UCCUGUAUCGAAAGUGGUCAUGGCGUCCUCAUCGUCAGCUCAUUGAUAGUACAGGCAGAUGAAGUUGAGAGCCUUUCCCGUGUGUGAAGGAUCCUCAGUUCCUAUCAGACCCUGAUGCUCUCAGACA
Small nucleolar RNA from Pseudoliparis swirei, 127 nucleotides. RefSeq annotates it as small nucleolar RNA SNORA71. The transcript has a single exon. Lineage: Eukaryota; Metazoa; Chordata; Actinopteri; Perciformes; Liparidae. The record is from RefSeq and is a predicted model, not a curated record.